RNAcentral lists this transfer RNA (69 nucleotides) under Escherichia coli. RNAcentral's name for it is "tRNA-Thr". It matches the Rfam family "tRNA". From Rfam's summary of the family: Transfer RNA (tRNA) molecules are approximately 80 nucleotides in length. Their secondary structure includes four short double-helical elements and three loops (D, anti-codon, and T loops). The record is from RNAcentral. RNAcentral also lists the same sequence under 4 other names. Lineage: Bacteria; Pseudomonadati; Pseudomonadota; Gammaproteobacteria; Enterobacterales; Enterobacteriaceae.
UGGCUCAGUUGGUAGAGCGCACCCUUGGUAAGGGUGAGGUCCCCAGUUCGACUCUGGGUAUCAGCACCA